UAGAUACCCUAUUAUUUUGAAAUCAAAGGAGCUAAGGUAGUAGUAGCUAUCUUCUUAAAACCUAAAAGGUUUGGCGGCACUUGUUCUUUUCAGAGGGACCCGUCUCAUAAACGUAAUGACACGUUAUAUCUCACCCAAAGAGGCUCAUAUACCGUCAUCUAAAUAACUUUAACAGAGGUAUAUUUAAAAAGGAGACGAGUAACUUAGAUCUGGUGUGGCGUUUUUGGGGGUAGGUAGGUCACAACUAAAGAAAAAGUAGACCCUUUUUGUAACCUUUUAGAUGAAAGAGGAUUUGACAGUAAUACUAUCUAAUAUAAUAGUAUGAAUUUGUUCACAAGUGUGCACACAUCGCC
RNAcentral lists this ribosomal RNA (353 nucleotides) under Ligidium ryukyuense. RNAcentral describes it as "partial 12S ribosomal RNA". The record is from RNAcentral. Lineage: Eukaryota; Metazoa; Arthropoda; Malacostraca; Isopoda; Ligiidae.